CAUUAAUAAAGCAACUGCAAUUACUCUUCAAAAGUAACAAAUUUUAUUAAUAA
Molecule: transfer RNA, 53 nt
Filed under: Romanomermis iyengari
Lineage: Eukaryota; Metazoa; Nematoda; Enoplea; Mermithida; Mermithidae
Description: tRNA-Trp
Source: RNAcentral